RNAcentral lists this ribosomal RNA (551 nucleotides) under uncultured bacterium. Its description in RNAcentral is "bacterial SSU rRNA". It matches the Rfam family "Bacterial small subunit ribosomal RNA", at positions 353 to 896 of the family's 1533-position model. The record is from RNAcentral.
AGUGGGGAAUAUUGCACAAUGGGCGCAAGCCUGAUGCAGCCAUGCCGCGUGUAUGAAGAAGGCCUUCGGGUUGUAAAGUACUUUCAGUCGUGAGGAAGGUGGUGUUGUUAAUAGCAGCAUCAUUUGACGUUAGCGACAGAAGAAGCACCGGCUAACUCCGUGCCAGCAGCCGCGGUAAUACGGAGGGUGCGAGCGUUAAUCGGAAUUACUGGGCGUAAAGCGCAUGCAGGUGGUGGAUUAAGUCAGAUGUGAAAGCCCGGGGCUCAACCUCGGAACCGCAUUUGAAACUGGUUCACUAGAGUACUGUAGAGGGGGGUAGAAUUUCAGGUGUAGCGGUGAAAUGCCUAGAGAUCUGAAGGAAUACCGGUGGCGAAGGCGGCCCCCUGGACAGAUACUGACACUCAGAUGCGAAAGCGUGGGGAGCAAACAGGAUUAGAUACCCUGGUAGUCCACGCCGUAAACGAUGUCUACUUGGAGGUUGUGGCCUUGAGCCGUGGCUUUCGGAGCUAACGCGUUAAGUAGACCGCCUGGGGAGUACGGUCGCAAGAUUA